This 484-nucleotide ribosomal RNA is filed under the name uncultured bacterium. RNAcentral describes it as "partial 16S ribosomal RNA". It matches the Rfam family "Bacterial small subunit ribosomal RNA", at positions 30 to 507 of the family's 1533-position model. The record is from RNAcentral.
AUUGAACGCUGGCGGCAGGCCUAACACAUGCAAGUCGAGUGGAUGAAGGGAGCUUGCUCCUGGAUUCAGCGGCGGACGGGUGAGUAAUGCCUAGGAAUCUGCCUGGUAGUGGGGGAUAACGUCCGGAAACGGGCGCUAAUACCGCAUACGUCCUGAGGGAGAAAGUGGGGGAUCUUCGGACCUCACGCUAUCAGAUGAGCCUAGGUCGGAUUAGCUAGUUGGUGGGGUAAAGGCCUACCAAGGCGACGAUCCGUAACUGGUCUGAGAGGAUGAUCAGUCACACUGGAACUGAGACACGGUCCAGACUCCUACGGGAGGCAGCAGUGGGGAAUAUUGGACAAUGGGCGAAAGCCUGAUCCAGCCAUGCCGCGUGUGUGAAGAAGGUCUUCGGAUUGUAAAGCACUUUAAGUUGGGGGGAAGGGCAGUAAGUUAAUACCUUGCUGUUUUGACGUUACCAACAGAAUAAGCACCGGCUAACUUCGUG